Molecule: long non-coding RNA, 169 nt
Organism: Alosa sapidissima (American shad)
Lineage: Eukaryota; Metazoa; Chordata; Actinopteri; Clupeiformes; Clupeidae
Exons: 2
Source: RefSeq, a predicted model, not a curated record
GGAAAAAUCCGCCGAUUUUUCACAUAGAUUCCUAACUCUGCCGGUUUUCCUUUAAUAAGCUUGUAACAAGGGGUUUCCUGUUAGUUAUGAGUCAAGUCCCUAUUUAAGUAACAUCUAUCUAUCUACCGGUAUUUAUCUUCUUUCUAUCUAUAUAAAUUACAGGAACAUC